Molecule: ribosomal RNA, 253 nt
Filed under: uncultured bacterium
Lineage: Bacteria
Description: partial 16S ribosomal RNA
Rfam family: Bacterial small subunit ribosomal RNA
Source: RNAcentral
UACGGGGGGAGCAAGCGUUGUUCGGAUUUACUGGGCGUAAAGCGUGCGCAGGCGGUUUUGCAAGGCAGAUGUGAAAUCCCCGGGCUUAACCUGGGAACUGCAUUUGUGACUGCAUGGCUGGAGUGCGGCAGAGGGGGAUGGAAUUCCGCGUGUAGCAGUGAAAUGCGUAGAUAUGCGGAGGAACACCGAUGGCGAAGGCAAUCCCCUGGGCCUGCACUGACGCUCAUGCACGAAAGCGUGGGGAGCAAACAGG